CUAANACAUGCAGUCGAGCGAACUGAUUAGAAGCUUGCUUCUAUGACGUUAGCGGCGGACGGGUGAGUAACACGUGGGCAACCUGCCUGUAAGACUGGGAUAACUUCGGGAAACCGAAGCUAAUACCGGAUAGGAUCUUCUCCUUCAUGGGAGAUGAUUGAAAGAUGGUUUCGGCUAUCACUUACAGAUGGGCCCGCGGUGCAUUAGCUAGUUGGUGAGGUAACGGCUCACCAAGGCAACGAUGCAUAGCCGACCUGAGAGGGUGAUCGGCCACACUGGGACUGAGACACGGCCCAGACUCCUACGGGAGGCAGCAGUAGGGAAUCUUCCGCAAUGGACGAAAGUCUGACGGAGCAACGCCGCGUGAGUGAUGAAGGCUUUCGGGUCGUAAAACUCUGUUGUUAGGGAAGAACAAGUACGAGAGUAACUGCUUGUACCUUGACGGUACCUAACCAGAAAGCCACGGCUAACUACGUGCCAGCAGCCGCGGUAAUACGUAGGUGGCAAGCGUUAUCCGGAAUUAUUGGGCGUAAAGCGCGCGCAGGCGGCUUCUUAAGUCUGAUGUGAAAGCCCACGGCUCAACCGCGGAGGGUCAUUGGAAACUGGGGAACUU
This 613-nucleotide ribosomal RNA is filed under the name Priestia aryabhattai. RNAcentral's name for it is "bacterial SSU rRNA". It matches the Rfam family "Bacterial small subunit ribosomal RNA", at positions 48 to 643 of the family's 1533-position model. Lineage: Bacteria; Bacillati; Bacillota; Bacilli; Caryophanales; Bacillaceae. The record is from RNAcentral.